This 431-nucleotide ribosomal RNA is filed under the name Thalassiosira rotula. RNAcentral describes it as "partial Bacterial large subunit ribosomal RNA". It matches the Rfam family "Bacterial large subunit ribosomal RNA", at positions 2434 to 2861 of the family's 2925-position model. Lineage: Eukaryota; Bacillariophyta; Thalassiosirophyceae; Thalassiosirales; Thalassiosiraceae. The record is from RNAcentral.
UGGAAGGGCCAUCGCUCAACGGAUAAAAGGUACUCCGGGGAUAACAGGCUGAUACCGCCCAAGAGUUCAUAUCGACGGCGGUGUUUGGCACCUCGAUGUCGGCUCAUCACAUCCUGGGGCUGAAGUCGGUCCCAAGGGUAUGGCUGUUCGCCAUUUAAAGUGGUACGCGAGCUGGGUUUAGAACGUCGUGAGACAGUUCGGUCCCUAUCUACCGUGGGCGUUGGAAAUUUGAGAGGAUCUGCUCCUAGUACGAGAGGACCAGAGUGGACGAACCUCUGGUGUACCGGUUGUGACGCCAGUCGCAUCGCCGGGUAGCUAUGUUCGGAACGGAUAACCGCUGAAAGCAUCUAAGCGGGAAGCCCACCUCAAGAUGAGAUAUCACGGAUCUUAAGAUCCCUAAAGAGCCCUUGUAGACAACAAGGUUGAUAGGC